GGGUAACCUACCCAUCAGAGGGGGAUAACACUUGGAAACAGGUGCUAAUACCGCAUAAUAGUCAACACCGCAUGGUGUUGAUUUGAAAGACGCUUUCGGGUGUCACUGAUGGAUGGACCCGCGGUGCAUUAGCUAGUUGGUGAGGUAACGGCUCACCAAGGCCAUGAUGCAUAGCCGACCUGAGAGGGUGAUCGGCCACACUGGGACUGAGACACGGCCCAGACUCCUACGGGAGGCAGCAGUAGGGAAUCUUCGGCAAUGGACGAAAGUCUGACCGAGCAACGCCGCGUGAGUGAAGAAGGUUUUCGGAUCGUAAAACUCUGUUGUUAGAGAAGAACAAGUAGGAGAGUAACUGCUCUUACCUUGACGGUAUCUAACCAGAAAGCCACGGCUAACUACGUGCCAGCAGCCGCGGUAAUACGUAGGUGGCAAGCGUUGUCCGGAUUUAUUGGGCGUAAAGCGAGCGCAGGCGGUUUCUUAAGUCUGAUGUGAAAGCCCCCGGCUCAACCGGGGAGGGUCAUUGGAAACUGGGAGACUUGAGUGCAGAAGAGGAGAGUGGAAUUCCAUGU
Molecule: ribosomal RNA, 569 nt
Filed under: uncultured bacterium
Lineage: Bacteria
Description: bacterial SSU rRNA
Rfam family: Bacterial small subunit ribosomal RNA
Source: RNAcentral